UUAUCAAUCCAUAAUUUAUAAAACAGGUUACGAUUUGGUAGAUUUUACACCUACCCAUUUUUUGGAAAUGAAAGAUAUAAACAAUAGAAAUAUUAAAUCAAUAGAAAUAUUAAAUCUUUACUUUAUCUUUAUCCAAAAAAAUUUUUGGUGNAAAAAAUUAUUUAUAAUCCNUAUUUUUCAAAAUAAAAAAAAAANCUGAAAAAANUGGAGAAUUUCUACUACUUAGUUUAGAAAAAAAAANUCGUCUUUUUUCUAUAUUAAUUUUUAAAAAUUAACGAGAAUCAAGUGUAUUAAUCCUCUAGGUAUACUUACGCAAUAUACCUUUAUUUAUAUUAUAUUUUNAUAAACCUCCAGGUAUACUUACCCNAAUAGAGAUAUUUUAGAGACUACUAUACUCUAGUAGUAUAUUUUUUUCCUUACCCAAUAUAUUAGUCUAAAAAACUAAUAUAUUGGGUAUAUUGGGUAUUUAUCAAAUUAAUAUUCAAAUUUUUAAUAUAAUGAACAAUUCAAAAGAUCUA
Molecule: unclassified non-coding RNA, 518 nt
Filed under: Cyperus lipomexicanus
Lineage: Eukaryota; Viridiplantae; Streptophyta; Magnoliopsida; Poales; Cyperaceae
Description: partial contains trnH gene (partial), trnH-psbA IGS and psbA gene (partial)
Source: RNAcentral